AGUGAACGCUGGCGGCAGGCCUAACACAUGCAAGUCGAACGGCAGCACGGCAGUAGCAAUACUGUGGGUGGCGAGUGGCGGACGGGUGAGGAAUACAUCGGGAUCUACCCUGUUGUGGGGGAUAACGUAGGGAAACUUACGCUAAUACCGCAUAAGAACUGAGGUUGAAAGCGGCGGACCGCAAGGCGUCGCGCGAUUGGAUGAACCGAUGUCCGAUUAGCUAGUUGGCGGGGUAAAGGCCCACCAAGGCGACGAUCGGUAGCUGGUCUGAGAGGACGACCAGCCACACUGGAACUGAGACACGGUCCAGACUCCUACGGGAGGCAGCAGUGGGGAAUAUUGGACAAUGGGCGCAAGCCUGAUCCAGCCAUGCCGCGUGGGUGAAGAAGGCCUUCGGGUUGUUAAAGGCCCUUUUGUCCGGUAACGAAAAGACAUUCGGUUAACUCCGUGCCAGCAGCCGC
Molecule: ribosomal RNA, 461 nt
Filed under: uncultured bacterium
Lineage: Bacteria
Description: bacterial SSU rRNA
Rfam family: Bacterial small subunit ribosomal RNA
Source: RNAcentral